Molecule: ribosomal RNA, 498 nt
Filed under: uncultured bacterium
Lineage: Bacteria
Description: partial 16S ribosomal RNA
Rfam family: Bacterial small subunit ribosomal RNA
Source: RNAcentral
AUUGAACGCUGGCGGCAUGCCUUACACAUGCAAGUCGAACGGUAACAGGUCUUCGGAUGCUGACGAGUGGCGAACGGGUGAGUAAUACAUCGGAACGUGCCUAGUAGUGGGGGAUAACUACUCGAAAGAGUGGCUAAUACCGCAUGAGAUCUACGGAUGAAAGCAGGGGAUCGCAAGACCUUGUGCUACUAGAGCGGCCGAUGGCAGAUUAGGUAGGUGGGGGGAUAAAAGCUUACCAAGCCGACGAUCUGUAGCUGGUCUGAGCGGACGAUCCGCCACACUGGGACUGAGACACGGCCCAGACUCCUACGGGAGGAAGCAGUGGGGAAUUUUGGACAAGGGGCGAAAGCCUGAUCCAGCAAUGCAGCGUGCAGGAUGAAGGCCUUAGGGUUGUAAACUGCUUUUGUACGGAACGAAAAGCCCCGGGUUAAUACCCUGGGGUCAUGACGGUACCGUAAGAAUAAGCACCGGCUAACUACGUGCCAGCCGCCGCCGUAA